ACAAGUAAAGAGCAAAACAUAGCUGACCGUUCAAAGCAGCACACACACACUCCCUCCCUUACUAGCCAUGGCCUAUUGCGAAAUGGCUCCUUGUGCGCUAGCUCAACAUUCUGAGCUUACGAUGACUCUAUACACAAACAAGGAGGUGUAUUCUGGACCAGACCAAAAUGCAGCAACAAACACAGAAGGGUCAACAAUAAUGGGCAGAACCCAGGUCUACUCGUGGCCUGUAGCCGAUGGGGCAACUCCUGAUGCAAACAUCGUCGGCCAUCUCCAGGGCACUAGUGUUCAAGUAGCCAAAUCUCCCGCCGCGGUGUAUCACUACUCCCUGGGUUUAGUGUUCUCGGAUGAAAGGUUCAAAGGGUCUACACUCCAAAUACAAGGGACUUCCCAAAUAAAUGGUGAGUGGGCCAUUGUUGGAGGGACAGGAGAACUUACUAUGGCAACGGGUACUGUCAAACGCACAACAGUUGUAGAGAAAGACUAUACCAGGAUCUCAGAACUCAAAAUACAUGCCUAUUUAUUUCGCUCCAGUGAAGCCUAGCUACUACGCCUAAUGUUUUUGAGACUUCUGAAUCCGAUUAAUAACCUCCAGAAGGCCGGAGCUUUAUGCAGUUGUUUAGACUAGUCUUCGUGCAUCCCAGACAAUAAAUGCCAGUAUCUGCACUUCGUCAGUGUUGGCUUGUUUCCUAAUAAAUAACUUGGACUUUGUAUCCGGUUCGUGUCAACUUGUAGUACUUUGCUAGCUGUAAGGGCUGUCGGUGUUGUUGUCACCUUGUACUGAGCUCUUUUGUAUUUCAAUAAAACUCCGUGUCAUAUCAUGUGUGUAUUCAUAAAUCAUAAGAUGUAUUUUAAGGCCUUUGCUUCCGAAAAAA
Sorghum bicolor (sorghum) is the source of this 875-nucleotide long non-coding RNA. RefSeq lists it as uncharacterized. The transcript has 3 exons. NCBI's taxonomy places the organism in Eukaryota, Viridiplantae, Streptophyta, Magnoliopsida, Poales, Poaceae. The record is from RefSeq and is a predicted model, not a curated record.